UAUUUAGAUUACCUCCGAGCUUGGGAACCUGUGAUAUUAGGUUAUGGUUCUCUAGCCGAUAGGGUUCACCUGGAAACGGGUGUGCCUCCCGUGUGGAAAGGAUGGUAGGUUUAUUAAAC
This 119-nucleotide non-coding RNA is filed under the name Desulforamulus ferrireducens. Its description in RNAcentral is "Desulfotomaculum ferrireducens MoCo sequence". It matches the Rfam family "Molybdenum/Tungsten riboswitch aptamer (Moco RNA motif)". The record is from Rfam by way of RNAcentral. Lineage: Bacteria; Bacillati; Bacillota; Clostridia; Eubacteriales; Peptococcaceae.